Molecule: long non-coding RNA, 1092 nt
Organism: Macrobrachium nipponense
Lineage: Eukaryota; Metazoa; Arthropoda; Malacostraca; Decapoda; Palaemonidae
Exons: 3
Source: RefSeq, a predicted model, not a curated record
CGUGACUAGACUCCAAUGGAGAACUUGUGAGAUCCCUUCUUCUUUAAGUGCACCCAGGUACUGUUGGCAAUGUAGAGCUCCUGGUACCCAUCUCUUAACCUUCAGACGGAUUUCAGGAAGAACUUUCAAUAGCUGGAAUAGGGUACUACUCCCUCAAGAAUGUGGAGGACACAUCUGCAAUAGCCAUUUGAUUUACCUGCUUGCUACUGGCACCUAAGCACGAGUGAAGAGAAAUUUCUUACCUUGGACCAGGGAAGAUGCGUUUCUAUUUUUCAUAUACUGCUGCUGGCAACAUUUGACCUCUCCUUAUAGUGGUAUGCAUCUCUCAUCUUCAGGCAAGUUUCAGGAAGGAGGACUUGAGGACUUUUAACAGAUGAGAUAAGGUUACCCCUCAAGAGUGUGAAGAGCAUAGCUGAAUAAGACUUUGGGUUUAUUGAGGCACAAGUGAAAAGGCGACUGCUUUCCAUUUUUAAUUUGUAUGUGAACAGUGAGUCGAAAAGUAGUUUCACGUUAAAUGUGUAAGUUAAAUGUGAAAUAGAUGAUGUAAGAUCUAAGGAAGUGAAGCAGGAUCCUAAAAUAUAAUAAUUAGGAAAGGCAGAAAACGACAAAGCCAAAAAAUAGAGCAGGAUGUGUUAACAGUGUCCCAAACUCUGACAAUGAUGCAGUUAUACAAUGACAUAAGGAUAGGUCAGAGUUCACAUAAAUACCUUGAAUGUAGUAGUAGAACCAGGUAAUGCCUCAAGGCCCUUUGCAAGUUAGUGAAUGUUUCCAUAAACUAUGUAAUACUUGGGUUGUCCAUAUAAUAAGGUUCUCAAGGAGCUGCAGUCGCAACGAACGCUGUUACAUGGGAUCCGGCGACACUGGCAUGUAGCUUGGUUCUUUUCUCUUAGUCGCCCCCCCGGUGAGCUGUCUGCGACGCUCAGCCUUGGCUUGGUAGCCGAUAGAGAUGGAGCUUCCACUCGCUUCUCCUGCCAGGUGCGAAUUAUGCUCUGUGAUUCGUUUUUUGUGUGCAAAAAACACUGCACUGGUGGACAUUCAUUCCCAACUGUGUGAAGUCUAUGAAGAAAAGUGUAUGAGCGUACAGCACGUGCG